Molecule: ribosomal RNA, 500 nt
Filed under: uncultured bacterium
Lineage: Bacteria
Description: bacterial SSU rRNA
Rfam family: Bacterial small subunit ribosomal RNA
Source: RNAcentral
GAUGAACGCUGGCGGCGUGCCUCAAACAUGCAAGUCGAGCGAGGCUAUGAGUUACCGCAAGGUAAGGCAUAGCCUAGCGGCGAACGGGUGAGUAACACGUGGGUAACCUACCUGGAAGACAGGGAUAACGAUUCGAAAGGGUCGCUAAUACCUGAUAAUAUCCAUCUGCCGGAUGGCGGAGGGAAGAAAGGGGAAACCCGCUUUCAGAUGGGCCCGCGUCCCAUCAGCUAGUUGGUAAGGUAAAGGCUUACCAAGGCGACGACGGGUAGCCGGUCUGAGAGGAUGUACGGCCACACUGGGACUGAGAUACGGCCCAGACUCCUACGGGAGGCAGCAGUUGGGAAUCUUAGGCAAUGGACGAAAGUCUGACCUAGCGACGCCGCGUGAGGGAAGAAGGCCUUCGGGUUGUAAACCUCUGUCAUGGGGGAAGAAGGAAGUGACGGUACCCAAGAGGAAGCCCCUGCUAACUACGUGCCAGCAGCCGCGGUAAGGUCACGUCG